This 223-nucleotide ribosomal RNA is filed under the name uncultured bacterium. RNAcentral's name for it is "partial 16S ribosomal RNA". It matches the Rfam family "Bacterial small subunit ribosomal RNA", at positions 30 to 235 of the family's 1533-position model. The record is from RNAcentral.
AUUGAACGCUGGCGGCGUGCCUAACACAUGCAAGUCGAGCGGUAACAGGUGUAGCAAUACAUGCUGACGAGCGGCGAACGGGUGAGUAAUGCUUUGGAAUCUUCCCAGUAGUGGGGAAUAACCAGUCGAAAGAUUGGCUAAUACCGCAUACGUCUGUAAAGGGAAAGCGGGGGACUCGCCUCUUCUUCGGAAGAGAGGCCUCGCGCUAUUGGAUGAGCCAAAG